Molecule: ribosomal RNA, 293 nt
Filed under: uncultured Bacteroides sp.
Lineage: Bacteria; Pseudomonadati; Bacteroidota; Bacteroidia; Bacteroidales; Bacteroidaceae
Description: partial 16S ribosomal RNA
Rfam family: Bacterial small subunit ribosomal RNA
Source: RNAcentral
ACAUGCAAGUCGAGGGGCAUCAGGAAGAAAGCUUGCUUUCUUUGCUGGCGACCGGCGCACGGGUGAGUAACACGUAUCCAACCUGCCCUUUACUCGGGGAUAGCCUUUCGAAAGAAAGAUUAAUACCCGAUGGCAUAGUUCUUCCGCAUGGUGGAACUAUUAAAGAAUUUCGGUCAUCGAUGGGGAUGCGUUCCAUUAGGUUGUUGGCGGGGUAACGGCCCACCAAACCGACGAUGGAUAGGGGUUCUGAGAGGAAGGUCCCCACAUUGGUACUGAGACACGGACCAAACUCC